AUGGGCUGGAGAGAUGGCUCAGUGGUUAAG
Molecule: non-coding RNA, 30 nt
Filed under: Cricetulus griseus (Chinese hamster)
Lineage: Eukaryota; Metazoa; Chordata; Mammalia; Rodentia; Cricetidae
Source: RNAcentral